This 253-nucleotide ribosomal RNA is filed under the name uncultured bacterium. Its description in RNAcentral is "partial 16S ribosomal RNA". It matches the Rfam family "Bacterial small subunit ribosomal RNA", at positions 524 to 776 of the family's 1533-position model. The record is from RNAcentral.
UACAGAGGUCCCAAGCGUUGUUCGGAUUCACUGGGCGUAAAGGGUGCGUAGGCGGUCGGGUAAGUCUGAUGUGAAAUCUCACAGCUUAACUGUGAAACUGCAUUGGAUACUAUCCGGCUCGAGGAAUGGAGGGGAGACUGGAAUACUUGGUGUAGCAGUGAAAUGCGUAGAUAUCAAGUGGAACACCAGUGGCGAAGGCGAGUCUCUGGACAUUUCCUGACGCUGAGACACGAAAGCGUGGGUAGCAAACAGG